RNAcentral lists this ribosomal RNA (834 nucleotides) under alpha proteobacterium SCGC AAA288-L07. Its description in RNAcentral is "SSU rRNA". It matches the Rfam family "Bacterial small subunit ribosomal RNA", at positions 33 to 918 of the family's 1533-position model. Lineage: Bacteria; Pseudomonadati; Pseudomonadota; Alphaproteobacteria. The record is from RNAcentral.
ACGCUGGCGGCACGCCUAACACAUGCAAGUCGAACGAAGUAGCAAUACUUAGUGGCGAACGGGUGAGUAUAAUGUGGGUAUCUGCCUUUUGGUUUGGAAUAACACGAGGAAACUUGUGCUAAUACCGGAUAAGCCCUUACGGGGAAAGUUUUAACGCCGAAAGAUGAGCCCGCACUUGAUUAGCUAGUUGGUAAGGUAAAAGCUUACCAAGGCUACGAUCAAUAGUUGAUCUGAGAGGAUGAUCAGCCACAUUGGGACUGAGACACGGCCCAAACUCCUACGGGAGGCAGCAGUGGGGAAUCUUGCACAAUGGGGGAAACCCUGAUGCAGCGAUGCCGCGUGAGUGAAGAAGGCCUUUGGGUUGUAAAGCUCUUUCGUCGGGGAAGAAAAUGACUGUACCCGAAUAAGAAGGUCCGGCUAACUUCGUGCCAGCAGCCGCGGUAAUACGAAGGGACCUAGCGUAGUUCGGAAUUACUGGGCUUAAAGAGUACGUAGGUGGUUAGAAAAGUUGGUGGUGAAAUCCCAAGGCUUAACCUUGGAACUGCCAUCAAAACUUUUUAACUAGAGUAUGAUAGAGGUAAGCGGAAUUUCUAGUGUAGAGGUGAAAUUCGUAGAUAUUAGAAAGAACACCAAUUGCGAAGGCAGCUUUCUGGAUCAUUACUGACACUGAGGUACGAAAGCAUGGGUAGCGAAGAGGAUUAGAUACCCUCGUAGUCCAUGCCGUAAACGAUGUGUGCUAGAUGUUGGGAAUUUAAUUCUCAGUGUCGCAGCAAAAGCGUUAAGCACACCGCCUGGGGAGUACGACCGCAGGUUAAACUCAAUGAAUUGACGGUC